GACGAACGCUGGCGGCGUGCCUAAUACAUGCAAGUCGAACGAACUCUGGUAUUGAUUGGUGCUUGCAUCAUGAUUUACAUUUGAGUGAGUGGCGAACUGGUGAGUAACACGUGGGAAACCUGCCCAGAAGCGGGGGAUAACACCUGGAAACAGAUGCUAAUACCGCAUAACAACUUGGACCGCAUGGUCCGAGCUUGAAAGAUGGCUUCGGCUAUCACUUUUGGAUGGUCCCGCGGCGUAUUAGCUAGAUGGUGGGGUAACGGCUCACCAUGGCAAUGAUACGUAGCCGACCUGAGAGGGUAAUCGGCCACAUUGGGACUGAGACACGGCCCAAACUCCUACGGGAGGCAGCAGUAGGGAAUCUUCCACAAUGGACGAAAGUCUGAUGGAGCAACGCCGCGUGAAUGAAGAAGGGUUUCGGCUCGUAAAACUCUGUUGUUAAAGAAGAACAUAUCUGAGAGUAACUGUUCAGGUAUUGACGGUAUUUAACCAGAAAGCCACGGCUAACUACGUGCCAGCAGCCGCGGUAAUACGUAGGUGGCAAGCGUUGUCCGGAUUUAUUGGGCGUAAAGCGAGCGCAGGCGGUUUUUUAAGUCUGAUGUGAAAGCCUUCGGCUCAACCGAAGAAGUGCAUCGGAAACUGGGAAACUUGAGUGCAGAAGAGGACAGUGGAACUCCAUGUGUAGCGGUGAAAUGCGUAGAUAUAUGGAAGAACACCAGUGGCGAAGGCGGCUGUCUGGUCUGUAACUGACGCCGAGGCUCGAAAGUAUGGGUAGCAAACAGGAUUAGAUACCCUGGUAGUCCAUACCGUAAACGAUGAAUGCUAAGUGUUGGAGGGUUUCCGCCCUUCAGUGCUGCAGCUAACGCAUUAAGCAUUCCGCCUGGGGAGUACGGCCGCAAGGCUGAAACUCAAAGGAAUUGACGGGGGCCCGCACAAGCGGUGGAGCAUGUGGUUUAAUUCGAAGCUACGCGAAGAACCUUACCAGGUCUUGACAUACUAUGCAAAUCUAAGAGAUUAGACGUUCCCUUCGGGGACAUGGAUACAGGUGGUGCAUGGUUGUCGUCAGCUCGUGUCGUGAGAUGUUGGGUUAAGUCCCGCAACGAGCGCAACCCUUAUUAUCAGUUGCCAGCAUUAAGUUGGGCACUCUGGUGAGACUGCCGGUGACAAACCGGAGGAAGGUGGGGAUGACGUCAAAUCAUCAUGCCCCUUAUGACCUGGGCUACACACGUGCUACAAUGGAUGGUACAACGAGUUGCGAACUCGCGAGAGUAAGCUAAUCUCUUAAAGCCAUUCUCAGUUCGGAUUGUAGGCUGCAACUCGCCUACAUGAAGUCGGAAUCGCUAGUAAUCGCGGAUCAGCAUGCCGCGGUGAAUACGUUCCCGGGCCUUGUACACACCGCCCGUCACACCAUGAGAGUUUGUAACACCCAAAGUCGGUGGGGUAACCUUUUAGGAACCAGCCGCCUAAGGUGGGACAGAUGAUUAGGGUG
Molecule: ribosomal RNA, 1489 nt
Filed under: Lactiplantibacillus argentoratensis
Lineage: Bacteria; Bacillati; Bacillota; Bacilli; Lactobacillales; Lactobacillaceae
Description: bacterial SSU rRNA
Rfam family: Bacterial small subunit ribosomal RNA
Source: RNAcentral